Long non-coding RNA from Orcinus orca (killer whale), 14061 nucleotides. RefSeq lists it as uncharacterized. Lineage: Eukaryota; Metazoa; Chordata; Mammalia; Artiodactyla; Delphinidae. The record is from RefSeq and is a predicted model, not a curated record. The transcript is spliced from 2 exons.
GAAGAGUUUAAGAAUCAUUCUUGUCAAGUUCCGUAAUGACCCUGGUGAUGCCUUGACUGGAAUUUCAUUUAAUCUAUAAGUUAGGAAAUAGCGUCAUUUUUUUCUGUGUUUAGCCUUCAGCCGGAAGUAUGGUCUCUCUCUUCGUUUGAGUUUCUGUUUCUCCCAUUAAGGAUUUGUGUUUUCUUUAUAUAAUUCUGAUGUAUAUAUGUGGAAUUUGAUAUGUGAAUAUAUAUCAUGUAUUUCCCAAGUAUUUGAUGUGUUUAUUGCUACUGUGAAUGGAUCCUCUUUCAUCAUUAUAUUCAGGCUGUUUCUCUUGUGCUUAUAGGAACGGUAUUGAUUUCUGUGCAUUUUUCUCCUAUUCUGCUACCGUUAGAAUUGGUUGCUUUAUGAGGCAACCAGGAGCCUGCGCAGGCCAACGCUCAGCGGAGGUUGCUGCAGGAGGGUUUUGUAGAAGGGAAUCCCGCACAAGGGAGCGACUUGAGCUGAGUCGGUGGUUGCCAAAUGCCAAUGCGCAGUGAAGUGAGAAAAAUAAAGAUGAUGUAGUGGGGUUUUCAUCAGGUUAAAUUUAUUCAGGGAAGGGACUGUCCUUGAGAUGGAGGCUGCGUAAGCAUCCUACCUUUUGGUAUUUCAGUGUCAUUUCUUUUUGAGUGACAAUAGAUAGUGAUAUGGGUUUUCUGGUUUUAAGAUUUUGUUUUUAAAUUUGGUUUUUAUUUAGUUUUUUUUUUUUCUUUUGUUUGGGGUUUUUUUGCGGUAUGCGGGCCUCUCACUGUUGUGGCCUCUCCCGUUGCGGAGCACAGGCUCCGGACGCGCAGGCUCAGCGGCCGUGACUCACGGGGCCCAGCCGCUCCGCGGCAUGUGGGAUCUUCCCGGACCGGGGCACGAACCCGUGUCCCCGGCAUCGGCAGGCGGACUCUCAGCCACUGCGCCGCCAGGGAAGCCCUUAUUUAGUUUUUUAAAUGACUUUACUUAGCAUAUUAAAAAAAAAGAAAAACUGGGUGGCAACCCAGGUUGGCAUUCCAUAUUUAUUUGGAAAUUUUAGCAUUGUCUGAAAUCUCAAAAUCAGGAACUUCCAACUCAUGUCCUUUCCGACUCCACAGUUUUGUGAUAUUUGGUAAUUCUGGGCUUUUUUAAAUUUUAAAAUAAUUUUUCGUUUAUUCUUUUGUCUUCUAGUUAGCCUUAUCGUUUAGUUAAAUUGGUGUUUUUAUUCUUUCAUCUUUUUUUGGUUUCUUCACCCUUCCUUUGUGUGUCGCCAUGUUCUCUGAAAGUAUGUGAGAGACAAGAAUCUUUGCUCCUUUUCUAAAUGAGAUGGGUGCAGUGGCGCAUCCUCAUUGUGUUUCUUUCUUUAAAGGGCUUUUCUCUUAAUGUCUUUUCUCUGAUAGUAUUUAGGUGGGUUCUAAAAGGAAACAAGAUGGUAUCCAAUGAGAGGAACUCAACAGAGGGAGUUGGGAUGAGAAGGAAGAAGCCAGAUUUGGGACCAGCUGGGCUGAAUAUACACCUUGCCUCCUUCUGCUUCAUAGCUAACCAGUGGCAUUACCUGUCUGGUCUUCUGCCUCCACAGUUGCAAAAUAAGAUCCUUCUAGGGUCCAAAGAAACCUCCUUCCAGGGUUGUGGAGGUGAUCACAUGAGGAAAGAAAUAGGAACUGCUUAGUAGUGGUUGAUGGCAAGCAUACUGGUACUGAGCUGCUGCAAUGAGAGUUCAUUCGGUCAGUGGUAGGGUAGCUGUCACUGAUGGUGGUGGUAAAGGUGAAGAAGCAGGAGGGUGAUGGUUAGGAUUGGCGGGAGCCCAGCGAGGCAGAAGGGGCCUGACGGAAAGUGGGAGAGGCCAGUCGUGUUGGGUCUUGUCUCUUAGUGGCCUCUUAGAUACCACAUCUUCUUUAUCCACUCAUCUGUCAUUGGACACUUAGGUUGCUUCCAUGACCUGGCUAUUGUAAAUAGUGCUGCAGUGAACAUAGGGGUGCAGGUAUCUUUUCAAAUUAUAGUUUUGUCUGGAUGUAUGCCCAGGAGUGGGAUGGCUGGGUCAUAUGGUAGCUCUAUUUCUAGUUUUUUAAGGAAUCUCCAUACUGUUCUCCACAGUGGCUGCACCAACUUACAUUCCCACCAGCAGUGUAGGAGGGUUCCCUUUUCUCCACGCCCUCUCCAGCAUUUGUUAUUUGUAGACUUUUUGAUGAUGGCCAUUCUGACUGGUGUGAGGUGGUACCUCAUUGUAGUUUUGAUUUACAUUUCUCUAAUAAUUAGUGAUACUGGGUAUCUUUUCACAUUCCUGUUGGCCAUCUGUAUGUCUUCUUUGGAGAAAUGUCUAUUUAGGUCUUCUGCCCAUUUUUUGAUUGAGUUGUUUGUUUUUUUGAUAGUAAGCUGUAUGAGCUCUUUGUGGCCUCUCGAUGGAAGGUCUUAGAAGCCAUAGUUUGAUCUACAGAAAUGCACAGAGUACCCACUAUGGGCCAUACUCUGUAUUAGGCACCAGGAUAUGAAGGUGAGCUCUCUCCGACCCUGUCUCUCCACCCAGAGCUGGGGAUCUGGAAACAAUGCAUCACCACGUGAAGGAGGUUCUCAUUACAGCCCGACUCGAGCUAAGGGCACUGGAAAAGAAACGUGCCUUUUUUUUUUUUUUUUUUCAGAGUAUAUGGCGGAGGAAGCUGCCCUCGAUCUGGGCACAUCAGGAAUACUUUCCUGGGAAGAUGAUAUGUGCACACUUGAGCUGUGAACUGAAGGGUGAAUGUGGGGUGGGGGUCGGGCGUACAGUUCCAAGGUCAGGAAUAGCGUUCACGAGCCCUCUAGUGAAAAGGAUGACGGGUUAGGGGAACCAGCCGAAGGUCAGCGGAACUGGGGCACAGAGUGAGCUGGGUCUGGAGGGUGGGCAGGGGCUGCCACGCAGGGCCUCGUUGGCCUGGCAGGACGAAAGGCGGUCUUUAUUGUGUCUUGAACAGGGAAACCUCUGUCCUGAUGGACGGGAGGUGCCGUCAUCAGGUUGUCGGUUUCAAAAGUCUCUCUGGCCACGGGGUAGGGGGUUGGAAUUUGAGGUGCAGAGAGAUGGUGGUGGCUGGGAGCACGACUUUGAGAGUUAUUUAGGAGGUUGACCAACAAGGCCUGGCAGCAGCAUGGAUGUGGGGCAUUGGCUGGGUGAAGGAAGACACCUGGCGGAACUGGCCGAAGUCAGUGCCUUUCCCUGGGCUCGAGGGGGCAUGGGACCUCGAGUUCUGAUGGGGUGAGUGGGGUGAGAGGCGGCCAUUCUAACUAACCUGUGGGGUUGGGGUCUUUUUUUUUGGGCCGUGCUGCGAAGCAUGCGGGCUCUUAGUCCCCGACCAGGGAUCAAACCAGUGCCCCCCGCAGUGGAAGCACUGAAUCCUAACCACUGGACUUCCAGGGAAGUCCCUAACCUGUGGAGUUAGAAGUGCCUUUGGACCACGUGUGAGGAGGAGUCGACUAGGCAGAAAGAGGUCAUGGGUCUGGAGCUCGAUGGAAGGGCAGCCGUGGGAGCAGAAGGAAUCUGGCGCUAAGGGGGGUACCAGGGAGGGGCACCCCGAUGGAGGACAGAAGCUGUCCCAGAGCUGGAAGGGACCUGGGAGAUCAAAUCUUAGCUUCUUGGCUGUACAGGUGAGGAAACAUGCUUAGAGGCGGGUGGGACCUGCCAGCUAGUGGCAAAGCCGUCUCUCAGACGGGAUCUUUUGUGGUCCGGGUUCAGUGCUUGGUUCGCUGUGCCAACUGGGGGCCUUCACGGAGACACUGAACGCGAGCCAAGGGCUCGGAUGUCAGCCCCCUGAUUCCAGGUCUAUUUCUUGUCAGCACCCAAAUGGACAGUUCAGAGCUUCACAUUCUUUUCUUGAUCCACUUUAGAACUGACGUUCUGCCGGCUCCUUAUUAAAGAAAGAGCAAAGCAAGAGCCGGCUACAAAUGUUGGGAAGCUAGAAAUAGAACUAUACCAGGCCCUUAGUAAUCAAGCCUGGCAAAGUCCACACGGCAGCCAGAAGAAGGACUUGGGCGCGGUUAAAGCGAAGAUUGUUUGGCGACGCUCUCUUUUUCUGCCAGUUAUUCAAAUACCCAGCCAACUCCAAAAGCACCAGUUACUACCUAAAGCUCGUCCCUCAGAUACGGGAAUUAGGUACAAGAAAGGCAAGUUAAUCUUCCUCAAGACCCUCUCUCAGGAUGUCUACUCCAUGAGACCCGUGGUAUAUUAGCAGCUUCUCCCAGCCAUUACUUUAAAAAUUUAAUGUUUAAUUAGACGUGGAACAUAGGAAUUAGAUGCGUUACAUAAGAAGUUAAAAAUACUAACUAGAGCUAAGGCUAAAGGCUGCCUUAGUGACCCUCCACCAGCCGCGGGCUCCAUAACCCACCUCUCGAAUCCCCCUGAGGUUACCGGCUAGUUUCCACAGAAAAAUGGCUUUUUAAAAGAAACACAAGCAGCGUCUAUGCCACCUUGUGGCUUUUCACUUGGCCCCGUAUCUUAGAGACCCUUCUGCACUGGUUCCCGUAAGCUGCCUGGCUCCUGGAUUGUCACCCGUUGUCCCUGGUCUGAAUAGAAGAUACUGACAGUCACCUCCGUGUUGACGUGUGCUUGGUCCCUGUUGGAAGAGCGUUGCCCCCCGUCCCGGCACCUGCUCCAUGUGUGCGUUCACAGGGGUUUCUCUCGGGUCGAUCUCAAGCGGUGGGACUGCUGGGUCCCAGGUAGACACAGGGCUUUGGCUCAGCCGCCCUUCAGUACGAGGCCACCAGUUCGUCCCCACCAGCGGUGCAUGUGUCCCCAAUCUCAACACCACCCCGUUCCUCUGACCCAGAGAACCCAGACCUUCCUGGGUUGGGAGUGAGGGCUCGGGGCUGGGCCUCUGGGACUGUGACCUUGGGUUCAUCAUUCUUGUCUCUAACCAGUCAAGAAAAAACGUUGAACUUCAGUGAAGUUCGUUUCAGAGAUCUGCCACGAAGGCAAGGGGCGGGAAACCUCACUGAAAGAUCUGAGAAGAGAGAGGCCAGGUGUGCUGGGGUCGAGGCCACUUUUAGUUUAGUCCUGAAGGUAACUGAGCUCUUUUAGAAACAGCACCGUUCACACCACUACCUCGGGGUGGAGAGCUCUGCUGCGCUCUGUUGAUUGCAGCCCUCAUCGCUGGAUUGUUUUGAACCUGAGCGGUAGACCUCCUGUCCUAAUCCCGGAUCUAGACAGUUUAAGUUGGGAAUGGCCACAAUUUAAAGAAUGCCCUCCAGCCUUUGAAAUCCAGGUCUCUGUCCUCCCCCUGCUUCCCACCCUACUCACUGCAGACAUAGACAAGUUAGUCAUGGUGCAUAACUAGGGUGACCUAAUCAUUUGUCAGCCAACCGGGACACGUUUGAGUGUGCAAGGCAGUGCUAACUGCGGGGGGAUACUGGGAUGACAGGUAAAGCAGGACUUCCCUGGCAAACUGGGCUGUAUAGGCACCUGGCUUUUCCUUAAUAAUAAUAAUACUGUUAUUAAUAAUGUGACACUACAAAUAAAUAAAUGAGGUAAUACAGUGAACAAUAAUAUAAUUAUUUUUAACAUGUUUAAAAGAGUCAGUUCCCAUUUCAAGUAUUUUUAAAAUAGACUUGUAUGUGAUGAGAGCAAGGUCUGCCAUUGAGAGCACCUGUUAAGUUGGGUGAACUGCCUACACGAAGAGUGACAUUUGUUCAUCUGUGUUUCUUUCUGAAGUCAUUGUGGAAACUUGGGGAAAAGAACAAACUGAGGAGAGGAGAAACAGGAGCUUCUCCAGGGGCUCCUUGGGGUUCAUGACCGCGAGCUGAGCCCAGCGACCCCCCUUGUUGGGGCUUCCUUUGGUAGCAGCUGCAGUGGGUAGGGGGCGGGCUCUGGGCUGGCAGAGCCAUGGAAACGCCCCGAAGCACAGGGCCUCGAGCAGAGAAGGCUCAGUCCAGGCUGGGCGGCCGGCCUGCUGUGUGCAAUGGCCGUUUUUAGGCAGAGAACAUAGUCGGAACUUUCUGAGCUCAAUAGUACCUUAGAAGUUAGAGAAAAUUUACAGCCUUAGAAACAUCGAGAUCAUUUGUGCUCAGAGUUCGCUUAUUUCUGUUCUACCUUCACGAUUUUUGCCAUAUCUGCAUCCUCUAAGCACAUAAUAGUUUUCUUUAAACCGACUUGCUUUCUUCUCGUAAAUGAGUUUGCUUUUAAAGGAGAAUUAUAUCAGCGUCACUUAGCUUGUGGCUGAGUAUUUUUUAAAUACACGCCAAGAUCAGCGAGUAGCUCUAAAACGGACAGCCCCUCUGUUGCCUCGUGCCCCUCAGAAUCGCCUCGGCCACCGCCUGGAUCUAGUCCAGCGCCCUCUUCUCCGAGACACAUACUCACGUGGACCCCAGGGAGGCUGUGAAGACAGGUGGUCUUCCUGUCUCCCUCUCCAGUGACUUUUUGCCAUCAAAGGGGACAAAUUAGAGUUGACCCCAGUAUGGAGUAAGGCCGCUCCUAGUGGAGGCGUGGUGGGAAGGAUUCUGGUUCCAGCCAGCUGCACCCUGUGGAGUUUCAACAGGACCGAAUGGCUCGGGGCGGAUUUUCUUUCCAUGACAUUUGCCUUCUAAUAAUAAAUCGACAGAUGUAGUUGUCUCGCUCUGCCUUUACCGUGACAUUUGCCGUCACUUCGCAUGUUUUUGUUUGCAGACGCAGCCAAGAAACACGCUUCUCCGGGAGGCUUCACCCUGUGCCCUUGGCCUCGGCAGAGCCGUGCUGCAAGCAGCGGCCACUCGGGCUCGGGCCCCUCUUCCUUCCCGCCCGGCUUCUCGCGGGGCCGCCCUCUCCCCUCAGAGCCACGGCCACUCCUGUCCUUCGGGGCUUUUCCGGGAAUUCCCUGGAGCAGUGGGGUCUUUCCUUCCAUCGUGCUCUCUGUUCUCGACUGGCUGCCAGAAAAUGCCAGAAAAGAGCCCGUGCCUAAAAGUCCAUAUUCAGACGUGGUAGGAUCCGCGUUUCAUAAAGUUCAAAAGCAAGCAGUAUAUGCACGAGGAAACCGCAGUGAUGUUCACGAUAAGCACACGAUAAACCCCAGCUGACAUCUUUGUUGCCUAUGCAGAGAAGGUGGGCAGGGCAGGGGAGCAGGGGAUUCUAGUCCAUAAGGUUACCGAUUGCGCUUCCUUGGGUCGGCUGGAGGGUUACAGGGCUCAUUGUAGGAUUUUUAAACACUAAAUUUAAAAGGUCUGCAUCGGUGGAAGGGACAUCUGACACCAGUCCAGGGCGUGCAGGGAGUGGACCCGUCGUGCUGUGGACUUCCAGGGCCUGCUCGCUUCUCUGCUGCUUGUACAGACUGACCGGUGCCCGGAGAGUUCCGGUGCGCGCUAGGCCCUCAGCAAACUUUUGCUGAAUAUUGUUUUCACAUGUGUAUUUGUAAAGUUGCAAUGGGAAUUUCCAAGCGCUCCGAGGCAACGAUGAGGCAGGUGGAGCUGAGGUCCAGGGCCCCAGCACAGCUGUGUGGCAUAAGCCCCGGCGCCCUGCUUCCCUUGUCACCCCCAGCCUUUUCUCCAGCGGCCUUUAAAGCGUCUAAAUCCCAGAAAUCAUCUCAUUGCUCCCACUCUUCCUGAGUUCUUUUGGGGUCUGUUGAAGCCGCCCUCCUCCUAUGCCCCUGGGGAGAGCGUGUCAAGGUCACGGGCCCUGCUUUCCCUGCCUCUUCCCCAUGGGGCGUUUAAUCACUGCACAGACCGAGGGGACCCUCGCCAGGGGAGGGGACCCUUGCUGCUGUGAGCCCCAGGAGGCUCCUAGAGCCACCCCCCAUCGUUUGGGUUCCCUUUGAACGGCCCCCCGAUUGCUCACUGGAGAUGUCCCCAGUUCCCAAAGCAAAGGUGGACACAUUUCCAGUGACGAGGCAGGUUGCAGCCAUGGUCUAUUUAAAAGAAUGCCCGUUUGGAACAUACGGGCCCCAAAUCAGUGUGAUGUCAGUUGUCACCGUCCGUGUGGAAAGAUUUUGCCACGGCCAGCUGCCGGUCCUCUUUGUGCUAUAUUAAUACAAGGGCCACGGGGCCCAUCGGGGUUGGAAGCCAGGGAGAGAGGGACAGCUGUGGCAGACAUCACACCAUGCUCCCGGCAUGUGCUCCGUGUCACGGGCACGCAGAUGGCUCAGAGGCCCCCAGCCCGCGCCUGUCUUCUCCUUGUAGGGCCAGGAAUGGGCUCAAGCUGGCAAUACACUCGAUGCAGGAGCCAAGCGAAGAGUGGCGGGAUGGGGACGGAGGGCUCGGCCGACCCCGCGUUCUGGGUCAGCUGACGCGUUUACUGGAAGCGGAGGCAUGUGCUGGCCGAGUGAGGCCCCGGUAUUCAGACAGCUGGGGGUAUUGGGUUCUAUAUGCCAAGGCUGGACAGAUAUUUUUAAAUGUCCCAGGACAAAGGGAAGCCCAGUCGGCAGCAGGGUAGAGGGGCAGGGGGAUUUGGAGGACACCACUUCACCAUAGCUAGAUUUGGUCGGGAGAGCUGGGCAGGAUUAGUGUCUGGGAAGAAGCCCAGCAUGUGAAGAGGUAGCAGGAGGGUCCUGUGAGUGAGUGGUAGGCCCUGGCAGGCAGAGGAGGGCAGGUGAGGAUGCAGAGCAGGUGCAGGGGCCAGGGGACGUGCCCAGGACAGGUCUGGAGGUGGGAGGUUGGCAGGACUGAGCCCCCAGCUCAGAGGGACGGGAUGCGGAUGCAGCCUGUGGUUCAGGCCCCUGGUUUUGGGUGUCAAACAGACCAGAGCACCAGGCUUACCCUGGUCCACCCCACGCCCCUGGGCGACGGCUCAUCUGCCCGGGCGCUUCCUCCCUCCCCCAGAAGGCCCGGGGCUCUGGGAGACCAAGCCGCUAAGCGUCGCUGUUACCGUCAACAGCAAAACCUCAUCGGUGCACACCCGCCACCCCAGAGUGGCGGUGGAAGCUGCCCCCGGGCCUGAGCCCACCCAGGGACGGGUUGUGUCUCGACUGCACAGAUGUUUUUAGGUCCGACUUCUGAUAGCCGCCAGCAUUUUGGUAGUAGGCGAUCUGACCAAAGCUUUGGAGAUUUGAUUUCUCUUGGCCUAAGGGAGCCUCUGGGUGUCUGGGGCCUGCCAUCCACAGGCCCCCGAAGCUGAGGGGGUGGCCGCCCCCUGUCGGCGAGCCUCACACCCGCCACCGCACCGUCACCUGGCUCCGUCACUCAAGGCCGAGCAGGGCCUGGCCUCUGUAGGCAUUUUCACUUGUCCUCCGGCAGUAAAGUGGAGCUAUUAUUAUCUCAGAAGGAACGAGGGCCAUCAGAAUUAGCCUCUGAGCUGCUGGCCGGGGCCUCCUUGACUUUGCCGUGACAUUGGGCUGGGAGACCUGGGCUCAUGGACAAGCCCUGAGUGGCCCAGCCUGGGGAGGAGCAGGUAACGGAAGGGGGCAGCGAGCCCCUCACCAGGCCUCGGCCAGGCCCAUGGGGCCAGCGAGGUGGCCCAGUUUUCUCCCCAUGGCCGCUUCGUAGCCUGAACAGACACUCCACAGGGUCAGGGCAGUUACCGCGGCUACACCGGCAUUUGUGUGUCUCUGGGCCUCUCGGCUGUGGCCAGGCGGGGGCUCAGGAAGGUGCUGAGGAGGCCAGGGCAGGGCCGAAACCUGGGUGUGGCUCCUGGACACAGGGGAAGGAGAAGCGGAGGGGGCCGGGCUGAGGGUGGGGUUCUCUUGGGGCCCCUGGGGCCCUUGGCUGGCGGCGGGCAGCCCUUGAGUUCAUUCCUAUUCCUGUGCAGAGUUUCCUCCUUGUCCUCUGCAGGUCAGACUUCUCUGUUGCUUGUCCAGGCCCCUGGGAAGGAGCCACGGCAGCCAUGCCUGCGGCUGGGCCUUCGGGGCCACCUCCGUGGACGCUUAGUCGGAGAUCCCUCCUCUCCCGUUUCUCCUGUGGGAGAAGCGCUGGGUUGGCUGUCAGCACACAGCCUGCCCCAUGCUCGGUCUUUUUGUGGAGAAGCCCUACUCCUGAUUUGUUUGUUUCCCUUAGUUUGAUGUGUCUCGUGGUGCCUGCCCUCUCCCAGACACGAGGAGAAUACAUUCAUUCACUUAGUCUUGUAACCUUACGGGGAAGCGGAGGCACAGAGAGGUCAAGUAACUUGCCUGCGGCUGUACAGCUGGCAAAUGGGGGAGCCUAGAUUGGAAGUCAGGUGGUGGGUCAGGCUCCAGAGCUCACUCUCCAAGCUGCUGCCUUUGAAUGCCUCUCAGGGCAUGAGGGGGCUCCAGGGAGGGGUCUGAGAUGGAGCUUGGACUGAGUCAGGAGCCUGCUGGGUCACAAGCUGGGGAAAGGCUCUGGCGUGGGAAGAGCUGGCCAUGGGCCGUAGGGACAGCAGAGUCCAGCUUGGCUGCAGGAAGUGGGGGGGCGGGCGUGAGAGGAGGGCAGCAGGCUGAGGGGUCUAAGCCGUGGUCUGAACCCACGCCUCCUAAAGUCCCCCUGCUGUGACCUCCCUGGUGGCGCAGCGGUUAAGAAUCCGCCUUCCAACACAGGGGACGUGGGUUCAAUCCCUGGUCCGGGAGGAUCCUCCAUGCCGCAGGGCAACUAAGCCUGAGCGCCAUAACUGCUGAGCCCACACGCCACAAAUAGAGAAGCCUGUGCACUGCAACUAGAGAGCCCUGCGUGCCUCAGUGAAGACCCAGGGCGGCCAAAAGGAAAAAACAAAGCCUCCUGCUACCGCGGAGGAGAUCGUCGGAGGCAGGAAGGAGCAGCGGGGGACCAGUCAGUCCAGAUGAGGCCUGGCCGGAGCCACCAGUUGGCGGGGAGAGUGUCUGAGAUGAUCUGGGGGGCUCACAGCACGGCUGGUGGGCGCAUGAGAGGGGUCAGAGGUGACUUGGGGGGGCUGGGGUCUGCUUGCCAAGGCCAGUCUCAGGGCGGCUUUCCCUCUGGGUCCUUGUUUUUGACAGUUUAGAAGAGGGUCCCUGGUACAUCUGGGCCCUUCCUCAGCCCUUGGGCUCAGCCUGUCCUCGGAGCUGGUUCCUUCUGGCCUGGAGCCCACGUGGUGGGGAGGUUGUCCUCGUUGGGGAGAUGGCCGAGACUGGCGAAACCAGUGUGCACGGUGACCCAGCCUCCGGCAAUGCCUCCCUCCCACCGGUCCCCUUCUGAAGGGGCCACCCAUCUUCAUCCUCUUGCCAGGGUGUUACAGGGGUUUUCUGGGGUUUUUGGACCAGUGAGGAAAGCGAUGCUGGAGAGAGGGUCAGUGCUGGGAGCUGCUUCUCCAGUCCCCUGACGGGAACAGCAGGCUGGGUGGGCUGCGUGGGUGUCUGGUGUUGCGGGUCCACUGUGAAGGGGUCUCUGGGACACCCCCAGGCUCCCACUGGAGCCCCACCCGGCGUCCUGCUCUCUCUGGGUGAUUGACCUUCCCGGGGGCCCGAGCCUUGGCACAAAGUGCCCCAGGCCCCCGCCAGCAGAUGGCGCAGCUGCAGUAACCCAGCUGGCCGUGCCCCUUUCUCAGGAGACACCGGGGGUGGGGCUCCCGCGGCCCCCGCACCCUGGACACCUCCUGGACCUGCUCUUGAACCUGGCUGUGUGGUCACAGGUAAGUGACACGACCCGCGUGGCUUUCCCUGUCCGUACCAUGGUUGGGUGCAGGGACCACGGGUUCCACCAGCUCUGUCAUUCCAUCCCGAGCGCCACACGGUAGGGCUCCCCACCCCCGUGCCUGCUCCGCAGAAACAGCAGGAGCUCGCAGCCCCAACUUCUUCCUCCGGCCAACUGGAUGGGCUUCAGAGAAGCUCUUCUGAGCCUGGCUAGGGCCCCGAAGGAGUCAACUCCAGGCAGGUGAUUUGUCUAAGAUCACAAAAAAGGCCUGGGGGAUCUCGACUCAACCCACUUCAUUAACAACCUGCUCCCCUUCAUCUGAAAAGGGGCCCCAUUUUCAAAACCAUGACCGCUUCUCCCUUAAAUCAGCAGCGGACGACAGCCUAAAGAUUGCCCGUAAAUAUACGUUGCCCUGAGGGCUGUUUUGGCCAUUAGAAGAAGGACACCAAGUCAAAGCCUUUCUGCUCUCGAGCGUCCUUGGAGCCGUCAGCAGCGGUGUCCCCCCUCUGAAGCCCCGACACGACUGUGUGGUACCCCUGAACCUCCAUAAUGCCACCUCCUUGAUUUGAAACCUCAGUGCUUCAGCCCCUCCUUGAUGGGAGUCUAAGCUCGCCCUCUGAAGGAAAGGUUUGCUAAGAAAACAGAAUUUUAUGCACAGUCUCGGGAGGUAAGGCGUGGUCUUCACCCUCCACCAGAACCUGCCUGUUCUUAAGGGUUUCCAUGUUGCAUGAUCUGCAGGUUAGAGUUGGGUCACGUCUAGCUUUGAAUAAAGGCCCAGCAAGUUGCCUCUUAGAAAUACCUUGUCACAGCUGACCUUAGGUUCACUAUGGGACUUCUUUAAGAUGGUCUGAUUAAUUCAUGGUGGCCACCCCACGGCCCGUAGCCACCUGAGACAAGAGGAUUUACUGUACCAGUUUAUUGCCAGGCCGUAUCAGCUGAUAAGCAGGAAACUAUAGACCAUCUGUUUAAAAAUAAAAAUAAAAUAAAAAAUUAACAGCGGCACAGCCCUAGAGCAAACACUUUGUACUGCUGCAUAGUAAACGAGCCUGAUGGAUGUAGUGACCUUGGCUGAGGUAGCCACGGGCUUGUCCCUCCGUCCCUGUGUGUCCGGGGCGCUGGGCUGCUCAGAUCUGUGGCCUUCCGGCCCCCAAGCAACACCCUGGAGGGCAGAGCUCCCCGCCCCACAGAGCCCUGGGCGUCACUCCCGUCCUGGCCGCACCAGGCUCCCCCCUCCAGCUCUGGCCACAUUUGCGGGUCUCUAACUCUCUUUAGGCCACAGCGACUGUCCCCAGGCAGGAUGUCCAGCCCCAUCAGCCGAGAGCCCCCACGUUCAGUCGCGUGGACCCAUCGUGGAGGCUGGCCUGUGGGGUGGGCGGGACACGGGAGCGUGGGCCAAGGAGGGCUUCCUGGGGCCGCGAAGGACGGGCCUUUUGCUUGGCUUCGCGGUGAGCUGCCAGCCCCGUUUUGAUUUGCAGCUUUUGUUCGGUACUGCGCGGGGUCUCCUUCGCCUUGGCACUGGCUGGGCGGGGGAGGCGUCAUCACGGCUCUCCUCGGGUCCGCACGCAGGACGACAUCGUUGGCGCGGCCCGCCACUCAAAUCAAGGCAGCAACAGAACCUUCCGAGAAAAGCCUUCAGAAGUGAAAUGUCGAGGCUGCCGUUAUGCGUGAGACGGUGGCAGAGCCGCGAUCCGCUUCUCUUCCUUUCCAGGGUGCCCUGAGGCUGCUGCCGAGCCCACGUUCAAAGGCUGUUUCUUCAAAGUAAACGGUGCUGCCUUCGAACUGGGAGGGGAAGCGGGCGGUUGGGAGGCAGGUUUCCACGUGCGUGUUGAACGGCUGGGGCGUGGUCUUUGGUCCAUGAUCGUGUGAGAACUUGGGGUGCGGACAGGGAGGUCCAAGUCCGUCUGGGCCCCGGUGUUGGCAGGGCCGGGAGGGGGCAUCAGGCACAGCCCUGUGGGAAGUGACCGUGAAGGACCCUUCCGGAGGGCCCCCCCCAAUCCUGUUGUGCUUGGUUCAGAGGGUUGGGCGGAGGCUUUCCUGAAGGCUCUAGGAGUGCUGCACCCACAGGCUGUGUGCUCAGGAGGCGGGACGUGGGCCCUCGGACGAGGGAAAGGCCGGCCGGCCACGUUGUCUGCCUGCUCCCCCCAGGGAGGCCCCAACGCGGUCAGCCGCCCCGUGGUGGCCAGUGGGCAUCGAGAUGCAAGCCCGCCUGUUUUUCCGCUGCUCCAGGCCUCUGGUGUCUCCCCACCGCCUGGAACGCAAAAGCCAUGCCAACCUUGGUCUUGAGCAUCUGCAGCUCCCCAAAGGCCCCCGAUGCUCUUCAGCCUGCACCUGGCCUGCUCCUCCCCUCCUGGGGGUCUUCCUCGCUCUCACCCUGGCUGCCCACCUGGCCUGGCCAGUCCUCCCCACCCUUGGGAAGCCCCCUGACCGUCCAGCCCUCGCUGAGCGUCACAGCCCCUCUCGUCUCGGUUCCUUUGCUGGGUGCUUGUUUGCUGCCCACGCCUCCUACCUCUUCUAGACCGAGCCCCAAGGUGACGGCCAGCUCCGCCACGCGGACUGUUACGCUCUCCAGCUUCUGUCUCCACGCGUGGCACAAAGUAGGUGCCUAAUAAAUUUGUGUAGAACGAA